CUGCCCGUAGCUCAGUUGGAUAGAGCAUCAGCCUUCUAAGCUGAGGCCUGUCGGGCAGGCCA
Molecule: transfer RNA, 62 nt
Filed under: Lautropia sp. SCN 69-89
Lineage: Bacteria; Pseudomonadati; Pseudomonadota; Betaproteobacteria; Burkholderiales; Burkholderiaceae
Description: tRNA-Arg
Rfam family: tRNA
About the family: Transfer RNA (tRNA) molecules are approximately 80 nucleotides in length.
Source: RNAcentral